This 3710-nucleotide long non-coding RNA is filed under the name Medicago truncatula (barrel medic). Its description in RNAcentral is "long non-coding RNA (MTRU_LNC005270)". Lineage: Eukaryota; Viridiplantae; Streptophyta; Magnoliopsida; Fabales; Fabaceae. The record is from RNAcentral.
CACUUGACACAACCUCUCCAAAUACAUUUGACAAUGCUUAUUUCAAGAACUUGCAAAACCAAAAAGGUCUCUUUCACUCUGAUCAAGUGCUUUUCGAUGAAGUAACCACAAAAUCACAAGUUAAUUCUUAUGUUAGAAACCCUUUGAGUUUCAAAGUUGAUUUUGCCAAUGCAAUGUUCAAAAUGGCGAACCUUGGCCCACUUACGGGGUCUAGUGGUCAAGUUCGAAAAAAUUGUAGGAGUGUCAACUAAAAUUCUUGGCCUUCUAUUGUAUAAGUGCAAUACAAGGUUAUAAGCUACUCUCUAUAUUGUAAUCAUAAAUCGCAUCAAACUCAAUGUCAUAUCGUCAAUCAGUAUCAAUAAUAAUGUUGGUACCUAUUUAAUUACUUAAUCUUGUUGGUCCAAGUGCUAUGAGGUUUGAAAACCAUAUAUAUAUAUAUAUAUAUAUAUAUAUAUAUAUAUAUAUAUAUAUAUGCAAGUAGUCUUGAGAAGAGUUGAUUUUUUCCUUUAAAUUUGUCUCGCUUAACAACCUUGAGGUUUUUUUUUUGUCUUUUCGUUCAUUUAAUUUGAACUAUCGAACCGAACCGAGUUGUUCAAAUCAAAUGGAUAACUCUUUGUAUCCUAAGUAGAUUUUUGAUUAUCCCUAAUGACUUUUUUGAAUGGAUUAUCUCUAAUGACUUGAUUGCUAAAGUGAUCCCUUCUUCCUUGAUUAAUCAGGAUGAUUUCAAUAUAUCCGAAAUACCUUCUUUUGAAGAUGUCAAGGCCUCUUAAUAGGGAUGAUGUUCACUUGGUUAACCUAAGCUUUUUAAACAUGACAAAUAAGAAAAUAUUAACAUAAUUCUUUAAAAAUAAUUCGAUAUUUAGUUAAGAUCUCAUUUUUAGUUAAUGGCAAGCAUGGUUUAUUUCUUUUCCAAAAGAGGGUGUAAGGCAUGGGAGUUUUUAUUUCUCCUUUUCUUUUAAAUUCUUGCAUCAUUGAUUUGGAAGUGUAAAGGAUUGAAGAGUAAGAGUGUAAUUUGAUUUCGCAUGCAACUCUUGCUAAUUUGGAAGGUGAGGAAUGAUAACCAAAGUUAGCACAAAAAUCCAAAAUUUGGGGAGGUAGUUGACCAAAAUGUCUUGAACAAAAAAUCAGCUUGGCACUAAAAAAAUAAAUGAAAAAAAAAAAUCUUAAAAAAGAAGUGAUGAAAAUGACAAUAUAAUUAAUUAAAAUGAAUUCCGUAGAAAUUAUUAUCUCCAAUAAUUUUGUUCAUGUAUACUGUUUUUUAUUUUUAGGGAUGUGAUGCAUCAGUACUGUUGGACGAUACAUCAAGUUUCAUAGGUGAAAAAACAGCAGGUCCAAAUGCUAAUUCAUUGAGACGCUUUGAUGUAAUUGACAAAAUAAAGUCUGAAAUAGAGAAGUUAUGCCCUAAUACUGUCUCUUGUGCUGAUAUUCUUGUUGUGGCAGCAAGAGAUUCCGUGAUUGCUGUAAGUAUAAAUACUUCAAAUCAAAACUUUUCUUUAAGGGAUACUUCAAGCUAAAAAAUAGAGUUUUUCGUCAUAAUUUUUAAUUCAACGGUUGAUAUAUGAUGAUAAUGGAUCAUGACUCAUAUUGUAUGUGUCUAUAUAUUAUUUGACUAUAAACAUAACUAUUUUUGAAGUCAGACAUGCGAGUGGUUGUGAUAUGUCAGCCGUAUAAAACUUUUUAAGGAUAUAAUUAAAAAUAUAUUUUUGGUAGGAUGGUUAUGGUGUACUCUCUGGUGGUUCGGGAGUUGAGGAGUGCCUGAGUGAUUCGUCUCUGGGGUAGGUAUGGUGUGUCGAUCGCUUUUACUUAGAGAUUGGGAGUCAAUUUCUAGAAAUUUGUUAUGUGGGCUUAUUAUGGUGUCUUCUUCGGCGGAAUGGGGAUCGAUUGGUGGUGCAAUUUGUAUCGGUGCUGGAUUAAGUGUUUAUCAGGUGUUUAUUUGGGCUCGACGUCGGAUAGAGAAGGUGUUUGAUGAGUUUUUGGAGAUUUUCGUGCGAGUAGCAGACGUCAGGUGUUUGGAACGAGUUUAGGUGGACAUUCCAGCGGACCAGUGGCGGAUCUCUAUAGAGACCCACAGGUGCCAUGACACCCCUCAACUUAUCUAUAAAUACUAUAUUACUCAUAACAUAUUAUAAGUAUUUCAUUGUCGCAGCGGAAAGUGAAGGCUUUUUGCAACUAUAGGUCGCGAGUUCAAUUUCUAUUGGCUCCCUUUUAUGUGUAUUUUUAUUUUUAUUAAAACAAAGUGUUUGUCUGGAGCUCGAACCAGUGUCCACAAGGUACUGGGCAUAAACAAAGUGAACCACUACACCAUCUUACAAACAAUGUCAAACAUUUGAAAGAGUGUGUAUAUUUUCUACGACUAUUUGGCACCCCGAACAAAAUCAGUCAAGAUCCGCCACUGCAGUGGAGGUCGGGUGUUUGGAGAGUUUAGGUGGACAUUCGAGUAGGAGCAUGAGGUUUUCCCUCAACUUAGGUUUUUCAGUUGUCUGAGGUUUGGCGUUGAUUUUUAUGUGUUGGUUUUCGUCUUGGUGGUUAGUUUUUAUUGGGUUUGGUGAUAGACGUCAAUUAAAUGAUGUCUUUAUUAUGUAGGAGCUUACUUUUAGCCCUUUACUUAUUUCUGUCUUGCCAAUCUCUAUUCUUCUUGAACAGUGAUCUGGUUUUAAUAAAUUUUGUUGUUUAAUUUUUUUUUAUAUAAGUUGAACAUACAAGUAAUUUUACAUUGCCGGUAUAAAACUUUUUACAACAACAAUGUAUGAAAAUUAAUCACAUAUUAUAAGGAAAAGAAAAUUUUUGUAGUUCUUGACAAAAACAAAAUUGUACUUGAAGUUAUAGUCAACCAAGUAUUUCUCUAUACACUAACAUAUUGAACACAUUUCAGCUUGGUGGUCCUAGUUGGACUGUUCAAUUAGGAAGAAGGGAUUCAACCACAGCAAGUUUUAGUUUAGCUAACUUAGACUUGCCAGGUCCUUCCUCUGAUUUAAUGAAUUGAUUGCUCUUUCAGGUAGCAAGCUAAACUUAUAGAUGCAUAUUUAUCAAAUGUUUUAGAUUAUUAUUUUUAUUAUUACUAGCGCACUCUCGUGUUCGUCUAUCCGGUUUUUAUACCAUUGUUGUGUAACUAACCUUAUUGUAUUAUAGGAUCACACACAAUUGGUGAAGCUAGUUGUAGAUUCUUCAGAACAAGGAUUUACAAUGAGAACAACAUAGAUUCAUCUUACAAUUGGUGAUUUAAAUUUGUCACCGCUUGACACCAUCACUCCAGAGACAUUUGACAUUGCUUAUUUCAAGAACUUGCAAAAUCAAAAGGGUCUCUUUCACUCUGAUCAAGUGCUUUUCGAUGAAGAAACCACAAAAUCACAAGUUAAUUCUUAUGUUAGGAACUCUUUAAGUUUCAGAGCUGAUUUUGCCAAUUCAAUGAUCAAAAUGGGGAACAUUGGCCUACUUAUAUUACUGGGUCUAGAGGUCAAAUUAGGGAAAAUUGUAGGAGUAUUAACUAAAGUUUUUUGCUUCUAUUACAAGUGCAAUACAAGGUUAUGAGCAUUAUAUGGAUUGUAAGCAUAAAUCGCAUCAAACUCGAUGUCAUAUCGUAAAUCAGUAUCAAUAAUAACGUUGGUACCUGUUUAACUAUUAAUUUUUCUAUCGUGUAAUGUUAAAAAUAAAAAAUGGAUUUGUCCAAGUGUGGUGGGGUUUGAUUUCCAACUCAUGUAUACGAAAAAAAA